This 2273-nucleotide long non-coding RNA is filed under the name Salmo salar (Atlantic salmon). Its description in RNAcentral is "lncRNA (ENSSSAG00000103091.1)". The record is from RNAcentral. Lineage: Eukaryota; Metazoa; Chordata; Actinopteri; Salmoniformes; Salmonidae.
CUCACACACACCCUAGUGAGGUCCCCCAGCAAAGCUUCAGCCCCAGUGCCUUCUCCAGCCUCCAGACCUUUCCGCUAUAGCACUCCCCCUAGCGCCAACAGGGCGGGGGCAUCUCCUCCUUCUCCGGAGUCCCGGCCGAAGUCCAUCUCCAAGCCAUCCUUCCGCUCCCAGGGGAUCACUGUGCAGUUCUCCGGACGGGGAGUGACGGAUGAGUCGCGCAGAGAAGCUCUCCGGAAACUGGGGCUGCUGAAAGACACUUUCUAACUCUCUGCAAAACCUCCAUUGAGCUUCCAGGUGGACAGACAUAACGAAGGCCUCUGGAGUUUUUCUGAAAGGGUGUGAGGCGUGGCAGGAGAGGAUACCUACAUUACUGUGGAAUGAAACAGGAUCCGGGCUGAAACCGGCACACCUGGUUCUGAGCGCUGACAAACGAGUCCGACACGUCACAUGGCCUGGUUGACAAAUGAGCACACAUACGUUUUACAGAUACACACACGCGGACAUGUAUACACACACAUUCGUCAAACAGACAUACACGUGCACAUGCACUCAUACCCACAAAUACAUUCACCCAACAACUCACACACUUAUAUGCAUCAAAGCGCUGUCUCUUAAAUUGUGCUCUAUUUAACUGUAGUCCUACUAAGUGUUUUACAUUGUCUCUGAAUCAAGACAUAUUGUACUUUACAGUAUACAUGUACCUCUAUUGUUCUCUGGGCCAAAACAGACAAAAAAAACAGACCUGUGCAAAGGGGAAUGCAGACAGCUGAAUGUCUUUGGCAUUGGCACAUUUGGCAGAGACAGACUUUUUACUACCUUUGCCACCUUCUGAUGUCACAUCCUCAGCUACCAGUGAGAAUCCUUACAUGCUCUCACUCUCCAAAGAUGGAUUUAUAUACCCAGUAUAUUUACAUUUACUUUGUAUGACACUAUAUUGAUUACUGAUCAGUUUGAGGCGGGUACUGAUAAAGUGAACUUGAAUCAUUAUAAACUGGCUGUGAUAUUGACUCUGUUUCUGGCUAGCUGAUUAAUGUAUAUAUGCUACUUGUGUUGCUUGCAUUGUUCCAUGUUGGUUUAUUUAUUAAGUUCACUCCCUGUACGUGCUUCCCAACUCCCUGCGUACACGUUACACUCAUCUAUUAGAAUGUAUCUAUAUUUCCUGUGAGGACGGUAACCAUCAAACUCAUAAAUAUUGAUGAUAUCCUACUUGAUAAGUAUUUAUGCACCCAUUGAUUUCCACUGCUGCCUUAUGGUAUGUUAAAGACAGGUCACUCGGAAGGGGGUACAUUCCCCCAUGCAAGAGCAAAGCUUAGAAACUUAACAAUUGAUUGGCAUACCAAGUAAACUAAGCAGCAAUUAAAAUAGUUUGCAUUCAUGUACCUCAUAUGCUCAGCUCGAAGGAUAUCAAAUUAUUGGAAGUUCUGAAGUGACCCCCAUGUGUUAAUCUCCUCAUAGGACAUUUUUGUGAAUGUAUGUUACAGAAAAGAGGGAGUGCAAGACAGGCUUGAGUUUCUAGGAAAGGAGUGAUAUGUAACUACAGCGCUGGUUAAAGUGUAUUUUUACUCCAUGGACAUACCUCCCACACAAAACCACUAAAUGUGGUUUGAAAUGUAGACUUUUACUACUUCGAGGGAAAAAACUUAACUUUGUGAGGACGGGCAAGGGCUUGCAAUGUCCAAAACACAAACACUGAAGCCACAGAAUCCAGAAAUACUCACAAGGACCAUUUUUUCUUGUUUUGCCCUUCUUUUGUUCAUGAACUGUAUGCUGAACUUGCAUUUGCAAUAUGUCAUUUAACUGUCAUCAUAACUGAUGCCUCUUGUUUCUCGCUGGACUGCAGAUAUAUUGGUACAUAACCCUGUGUGUGUGUGUGUGUGUGUGUGUGUGUGUGUGUGUGUGUGUGUGUGUGUGUGUGUGUGUGUGUGUGUGUGUGUGUGUGUGUGUGAAACAUGUUUGUCCAUUUUUAAAGUUUUUUUUAAUGAAAAAAGUCAGACUCCGGUUUUGUAGUUCAUCUACAGUAACUCAUGAAGUAUCUAAUACACACAAACACACACUUGGAAAAUAUACCUGUAGUUUGCAGACCCAGAGAGAGAAUCCAAAAAGACUCACAUACAAAAUCUUUAUUUGACAUUCAAUUAACAUUUACAAAUUGUCAACAAAAGUUGCUGCAAUGGUACAACAGCGCCUUUAUAGAUUUUGCUCAUUGUCAUAUUGUACACAACGUUUAAUGUACAUCUGUGUCACCUAAUAAAGAGAGUAAUAUACAUGACUUA